Molecule: non-coding RNA, 2033 nt
Organism: Podarcis lilfordi (Lilford's wall lizard)
Lineage: Eukaryota; Metazoa; Chordata; Lepidosauria; Squamata; Lacertidae
Source: the annotation of a GenBank genome assembly
UUGUUCCUUUAUCUGCAGCAUUAGGUGCAGGCAGCCAUUUUAAAAAGUGCAUCUUUCCACAGUGGGAAGCGAUAACAGCAGGUGGGGAAAACCUCUCAUGAGGAGAGCAGCACAUGCACUCAUUGUUAUUGUUCUUGGGAAGGUAAAAUUGUGUAGACAUAGUGAUUGUGAGGCAGCCAAAUGGGAUUCCUACAGAAAUUUGACUGAAUAACUUGUACUAUUAACAUCCCUUUAGGAAUGCGAAAAGCUGAUUAAGAGGAAACAGACUGACUUUGGACUUUGCCACCUUGCUUUUUCUAGUUCCAGCUCAGCAUCUGAAUAAGUAGGUUGUUGCCCACAAAAGCUUGUGCUUGUAACAAAAACUUGCAAUAAAAAGCUCAUUAUAAACUAGUCUCAAGGUGCUGUCAAAUACAUUUAUGUUUUGAAGCAUAAACUAUUAUUUGAAACCAUAGUCUGAGGACAGUUUGUAAACUGUGGGUUUGGAGGUUAUUCCUAACCCUACUAAUAGUUUUAUUAUUAGUGUAUCUUUAUAUAUUAUAAAUACAUGCAUAUACAUUUAUAUAUUACAUUUAUAUUAUAAUAUAUUGUAAUUAUAUGUCAGGCUUCAGGGAAUUAACUUCCUCCCCCCUUUGGCAGUAGAUAAGCAGAACAAAGGAAAAGGAGUCUCCUUACCAGUUAGAAACUUUAAUGAUCACAGUGAGAGAACAAAUAACCCCCUUCCUAGGAACGGUGGUGCUCCCAAUUAAGGGUUCCACCCACUUCCUCCAUAGUCACCCCCGUCACUACCGCAUCUUGUCACCGGAGCUUGUAACCACUGUGCUUUCUGUGCUUUCUGUUCUGCCACUUUCUGAGCUCUUCUUGACCUUGGGGAGAGCGGGGGAAUGCUUUCCAGAGACAGUGAAUCUAUUAAUUCUCUCUCUCCCAGUGCUUCUUCUCCAUCCAGUAUUUCCCAGCUUCUGCCGUCUGAACGAUGUCCCUCUGCAAACCAGUGUUCCAAAUCUAUACUGUCCUCCUGCUCCUGGGAAGAUUCAGGGGGUGGGGGAGGCUCCCAACAUUCAUCCUCAGUGCAGCCCUCCUCAGCACGGUCUCUGACAUUAUAUUAUCUAAUAUAAUAACAAAUCUAAUAAUCUAAUUUACCAUCUAUAUUAUGUUUAGCGCAACACGGAAAUUAAGGGAAGUGGAAUACACAAGAAGGAAGGAGGAAGGAUGCAAAGACUGAAUGCAUUAGGCCAAUGAGAGCUCUCCAAACUGAUUCGCCACUUAUUUUUUUGCUAUGAAGAAUUAAUGAAGGCAAUCCUGCAGUUGAAUUCACAGUUCUGUAGCCCGUGGAAGGGAUUCAUUGAGAUCUAUGAAAUGAUGGUAUUAAAAUACCAGUCUCCUCUAGCUAUAACAAGUUUCAUGAAGUUAAGUGAAAUUAUUGAAGACUCAGUCAUAAAGCAGCAAAAUUGGAGCUGCAACCUGGAUUCAGUGGAUUCCGUUGUCCCACUAGCAUAUAUAAGGGCACCACUUAACUACCCUGAAACCAUGGUCAUAUGUGUGAAACAAAUUCCUGGCUUAUUACUUUCAAAGAAUCAAGAAUACAGUGUUGAAAUGUAUUUUCUUCGUACUUUUGGAAACAUACCACUUCAUAUGUACUUAUAGCAAUAGUGUAUUUGUCUGUAAGGAAUGAAGGUAAGAUUGGAAGCAAUUCAGUGCAAGGGAAUAUUAACAUUUGGAGGAGAAGAAGAAGAAGAAGAAGAAGAAGAAGAAGAAGAAGAAGAUCAGCCUCUCUACAGAUAGGCGUCAGGCUAAUACAAAAAGAAGAAGAAAAGCAAAUAAAGACCAUAAACAGAGAAAAAGACUACAUUUUUUAAAUUACUGAGUUGUGUGUAGAAUGUGGGACAAAAUCUAGGAGAGGGGGGGAAAAGUUGAGCUUUCUCUGGUUUUUAGUAUUAUCAUGACUGAAGGAACUUCAUGUGAUUUUUGGGCACUUGGUUGGUAGAAUGCAUAUUUUCUAUCCUGUUAGAGCAACCCCAAUGAAUAGGCUUAUUUAA